This 88-nucleotide transfer RNA is filed under the name Kitasatospora gansuensis. RNAcentral describes it as "tRNA-OTHER". The record is from RNAcentral. Lineage: Bacteria; Bacillati; Actinomycetota; Actinomycetes; Kitasatosporales; Streptomycetaceae.
GGAGGAAGAAGCCGAGGUGAGGAGAGCGGGCGCGUGCAUCUGAAGAGUCUGACGCUGCGCGGGUUCAAGUCCUUCGCCUCCGCCACCA